This 2538-nucleotide long non-coding RNA is filed under the name Citrus sinensis (sweet orange). RNAcentral describes it as "long non-coding RNA (CSIN_LNC002649)". Lineage: Eukaryota; Viridiplantae; Streptophyta; Magnoliopsida; Sapindales; Rutaceae. The record is from RNAcentral.
CACAGUGCAUGCUGAACAAGAGGCAAUUUCUAUGGAUCCUAAAGAGGUAAUAAAUUCAGAAGUACACACACUAACAAACACCACCUCCAAAUUGCAAAAUAUUUUAACCCUUCACCUUCUCACUUCCUAUAGAAUAGCAUCAUACCAGGCCCUUGCCCUUCUCUUUCCUCUGCACUUAAUGGGAGAAUAGCUUUCUCUACUCUAGCGAAAACUCGAAGAACAGCACAAUGAUGAGCAAUUUCGAAUAAGAGGAGUUAGAGAAGAGAGAGAAAAAAUUAUUUGCAUUGCACUCGAGGAUUCAGCUUUGAUUUCUUUUUAUUUUUGUGUUUAGCUAAGGUGAAAUCACCUUCCAUAAGGGUCCACUCAUCAUUUUCCCUAACCUCUUAUAUCAUCUAAUUAUUACUUAAAUUGGUCAUCAAGUUCCUUUUAUGUUAAACUGCAGUGAGUUUGAGGAACUGGAAGCUGUUCCAACUAUGGCAGUUAUGGAUGGUCCUCUAGAGUCAACUCCCUCAAAUGCUGCUGAUGUUCCUGAAGAUCCUGCUUUUGUGAACUUCUUCAGUGUAUGUUUCUUUGAAAUAAUAUGUUUCUACAUAAGUAUGCAACAUUACCACAAAAAUGCAGCAAGUCAUAUACUAUUUUCAUAUGUUGGUUACAAGCAUGUUUAUGGGAGGAACCUGGAUGUGAUGCUAUCUUUACACAUACAUAAAUUACAACUGCCAUUUAUCAAUUUUUAAUUUUUCUAUUGUAAAAUUGUUAUUAACAUUAUUUAUUUGGCUUCCAAAUGCAGGAUUCUGAAUGCAUAUUCCAAGGUGCCUCAAAAGUCGAAAGUUGCCACAUCUAAAAGGUAAUGGUAGCUCAAUUUAUAUUUCACAAGUUGUAUAUUAUUUUUAGCCCCCAAGAAGUAUUAUGCUCUUUAUCAUAUAUUUUAUUUGCACAAAUUUUUUAUUCGAGCCUCUCAUCUGUUCAAGUACCUAAAUAAGUCUUGCACUAGUUAAUUAAUAAAAUGAGAUAUAAUAAUAAUAUAGCCUGUAGAUUUUUCUCUAUCCCAAUAAUAAUGUAGUCUUUAUAUGAUAGUUCUGUAGACGUGGGCAAUGAAGAAAGGUUAGAAAAGUUGCCUUAUGGUGGUUGGAAGGGGGGAAAAAUCUGGCUGCUAGGUCGAUUUGCAUAUUGUCAUCCAUUGGAGAACUUAAGUUGAGUAGGCGAUAUUUAUUGACAACUCAUUGAUGUUUUUUUUUUUGGGGCCCCCCCGGGGGGAGGGGGGGAUAAGAUGUUGACAACCCAUAGAUUGCUAUUUUAGCUUUAAAAAAGAUCAAAUAGAUGAUGCUGGACAGUUCCAAGUCAAAAAAGGAAAAAGGGAAAAGAAAUUUCAAUGGAGGUUCAAAGCAAUAGAUAUUUUCUUGGCAGGAGAUCUAGUAAGUCACCUAUCUGGAAAAAUGCCCCAAGUCUCCUUCUUCCUUCAAGAUUGUAAGGUUCGGUUGCAGCUCCUGGUUUCUGACUCGAGUUUUCCUAAUUGGGUUGGAAGGUAUCUGGAUUAAUCCUCCUAACAUAUCUCCUGAUGCAACAUAGUUGUAAAACAGUUGUAUUCUCUUCCAUUUAGAAUGGCUGUAUCAUACUCUUAUUGGUGCCUAGUAUUGUUGAGUUCAUAAGAGUGAUUUUUACUAUUGUAUAUUGUUAGCAGUUGCUAGCAGUUGAGGCAAACUAAUUCUUGUUACAAGCAUGUUUAUGGGAGGACCCUGGAUGUGAUGCUAUCUUUACACAUAUAUAAAUUACAACUGCCAUUUAUCAAUUUUUAAUUUUUCUAUUGUAAAAUUGUUAUUAACAUUAUUUAUUUGGCUUCCAAAUGCAGGAUUCUGUGGAAAUGGAGGUUUCUUUAACUCAAAAGGUCGUGGUUUUACAGCAGCAGGAGGACAAAAUUUGGCUGAUUCAAGUGGUCAAAAAAUCAACUACAAUGGUGGAAAAAGUUGGAAUAAUAAUGCAAGUCAGUCAUGGCAAAAAUCAAACAAUAAUCCAAGUCAACAAGGGCAACAAUCAUGGCUGCUGUACCGUACAUCCGCCUUGGCCACUCUUUCCUUGCACUUGAAAGAGUGUUUUGUUUGGGGAUUUGUGUUUGGUUGCUGGUAGUCCUGUUUGAAUAUCCAAGUAAAUAGACAAUAGAUACCAUGCAAGCUCGCCUUACUCGUAGGCACAGUGCAUGCUGAACAAGAGGCAAUUUCUAUGGAUCCUAAAGAGGUAAUAAAUUCAGAAGUACACACACACUAACAAACACCACCUCCAAAUUGCAAAAUAUUUUAACCCUUCACCUUCUCACUUCCUAUAGAAUAGCAUCAUACCAGGCCCUUGCCCUUCUCUUUCCUCUGCACUUAACGGGAGAAUAGCUUUCUCUACUCUAGCGAAAUCUCGAAGAACAGCACAAUGAUGAGCAAUUUCGAAUAAGAGGAGUUAGAGAAGAGAGAGAAAAUAUUCUUUGCAUUGCACUCGAGGAUUCAGCUUUGAUUUCUUUUUAUUUUUGUGUUUAGCUAAGGUGAAAUCACCUUCCAU